UACGUAGGGUGCAAGCGUUAAUCGGAAUUACUGGGCGUAAAGCGUGCGCAGGCGGUUGUGCAAGACCGAUGUGAAAUCCCCGGGCUUAACCUGGGAAUGGCAUUGGUGACUGCACGGCUAGAGUGUGUCAGAGGGGGGGUAGAAUUCCACGUGUAGCAGUGAAAUGCGUAGAUAUCGGGAGGAACACCAGUGGCGAAGGCGGCUAUCUGGGCUGCAACUGACGCUGAGGCGCAGAGCGUAGGGUAGCAAACAGG
Molecule: ribosomal RNA, 254 nt
Filed under: uncultured bacterium
Lineage: Bacteria
Description: partial 16S ribosomal RNA
Rfam family: Bacterial small subunit ribosomal RNA
Source: RNAcentral